RNAcentral lists this long non-coding RNA (9859 nucleotides) under Brassica napus (rape). RNAcentral describes it as "long non-coding RNA (BNAP_LNC026226)". The record is from RNAcentral. Lineage: Eukaryota; Viridiplantae; Streptophyta; Magnoliopsida; Brassicales; Brassicaceae.
AAAGAGAUAAAUAUACACUUAUACCCCAAUGGUAAAUUAAUGGGUUUAGAGUUAAGGGGUGUGGUUUAGGAUUUAGGGUUUAGGGUUUAGGGUUUAAAGUUUAGAGUUUAGGAGUGGGGUUUAGGGUUUAGGGUUUAGAGUUAAGGGGUGGGGUUUAGGAUUUAAGGUUUAGGAUUUAGGGUUUAAGGUUUAGAGUUUAGAGUUUUGGGUUUAGAGUUUAGGUUUUAGGGUUUAGAGUUGGGGAGUGGGAUUUUGAGAUAAGAUUUCAAAUUUUGAAAAAAAAAAAAAUUAAAUUUUUCAAAAGAUAAAAUGUUAUUUUGGUCAUUUUUGUUUUUGAGGGUUAUUUUUGUGACAUAAACUUAGAAAUGUGCUAUUUUGGAGAUUUGACCAAUUAUAUAUUGUGAAGCACUAGUUUAUCUUUAAUAGAUAAAAUAAAACCAUAUUUAGUUGUGUCUUGCUUGACAAAUGACAAAUGACAAGAACUUGCAGCGUAUCAAUAUUAUUAAAUUAGGAACAUGACCGGUUGAUCAUGUCCAACUGAUUUUUUUUUAUAACAGUAUCUACUUUAAUUAAAUCAAUAACACGUUCUCUUUGUAAUUAAUAAGCAAGUUACGUUUUCUUCCAACACAAAAAUGAGUUUUUGUCGGUUUAUGAUUUUAAAAUAGGGCCAUGGGCCUCGAUUUUUUUUUUUAAAUCAACUGAUUUAUUACAUUUCGUCUGAUUGCAACGAGCCAUAUAAAUUUAUACUGCUUUCUUAACCACAUCUAGGUUUAUGGCUAAUUGAGUUUUAAUAGAAGCAGACUAAUAAUAUUGAUUAUUAAACAAAAUUGCAACUAUACUCGAUUAUUAUCUAUUCUAUUAAAACAGUAACAUGACCGAUUGAUAAAAUGUUAUGUCCAAUUAAAAAAACUAAUUUUUAUAUAACUGAGUUAUAUAACUGCAUCUAAAUGAAUAUAUUUUAAAGUCCUAUUUUAAAGGGAUAACCACUUUAAAUCUUUUUUUUAAAGAACUACGUAUAUGGCAACAAAAAUUUAUAAAAAUAUAUUUUUGUAUUUUUUGUUAUUGGGUGUUUAAAUAAUAAUAUAAACCCUUAUAUAUGGCAACAAAUGUGUAAUACGAAAAAAACCCUUAUACAAUUGGUCAUGUACCAUAAAAAUAUAAACCCUCACAAAGGUUAAAACUAAUGCUCGACAUUAAAAAUACAUUUUGUUACCAUAUAUUUUUGUAUUUUUUUUUUGUUAUUGGGUGUUUAAAUAAAAAUUAUUUUUAGAAUUUUAACCUUUUAUUUGAUUAAUAUAACACAUUGUUUUAUAUAAUUAUGUAUACAGUUAUGUUAUUGACAUAUCUUUCUAUAAUGAUAUGAUAAUUAUUCCUCAUAAUUAUAAUAAAGUUAAAAAUUGUAUGUGAAUAGAGUCUGGAAAUUAUAGGCUAAAAACAUUUUUUGUGUAGAGUAAACAGAAAAGAAAUAUUUCUUAGUCGUCCAUAAUUUUAAAAAAGAUUUACGAAUAACGAAUUAGUCAUCACAUAAAUCUCGGCAUGCGUUUAGAUAAUAUUUAGACCGAUGAACCUGAAACACAAGAAAAUGUAAUAAGUAAACGGAAAAAAAGAAAUAAUUAGACUAAAUUAUAUACAUAUUCCAUGGUGAAUCAAACAGACAACGACGUCAAAUUUAAUACAUUCAAAUUAACUUUUUAAGCUACUCUCGAAUGAGAGGAUCACUGUAGUAUUUAAGGAUCGAAUCUACAUUGAUCGAAGAUCAUGCAAUAAAUUAUUGGUUUCAAGCUAAGCAAAAAGUAGAAAAAAAUUAAACAAAGCAAUAAAAUAGAUUGAUUAUUAACAUAUGAGAAAGUGCAAGAUAGAGAAAUUAAGCAGGUGAUUAAAAAAAUAAUAAUUGGACUUCACCGGUUCUGACCUUCAACCUUGGUAGAUGAUUAGAUUGAUUCUUCAACCUGUUCGGUUUAUAAAGUUAAUAAACAAAAUCACACAUUGGACUUAACCAGUACUGAUAAUCAUCUCUAAUACAUCAUUAGAUUGGCUAUUUAGCCAGUUCGAUUUAUUUAAUAAAUAAAAAAAAUCAGACUUAACUGGUUCUUAAAUAAUUUCUAAGGACUAGAUUGGUACAACUGAUGACAAAACAAUAUUAAUAUGCUGUAGAAUCACAAUGUUCUCAUAAAUGCAAUUAAUAAAAGAGCAACCCCAUUGAGGGUUUUAAACAGGUUCAUGGGCUCAGGUUUUGAGGCCUUUUGGAUAAAAAUAAAUGAGAAAUUGGGUUUAAUUUGGCGAACCGCCUCUUACCUGUGAUCCCGUCCGAUACGGGUUCAGCACAGGUGUCGCAUUCUGAUUGGUGAAGGGGAGUAGAGGUCACGCGCUUGAACGCGGAGAGAGAAUCAUUUCUCUCAUUUUUGCGAGAAAGCUAGGGUUUGCUCUGUGUGGCGAUUUCAUUUGCGACGCCGAGCUCUCACCCAUUUUCUCCCCUUUUCUCGAUCGAUUCGGCGCCGGAUUGUCUCCUCCACGACCAGAGGUGAGUUCCGAGUCGAUUGACGUUUAGAUAUUAGCCUUCUGUUGUCGAUAUCGCCAUUGUGAAUUGUCAAAAGAUUUUAUGAUCUCGGGUUAGGGUUCGAAAUCGAGAUGUGUUUGGAUCUAGGGUUGUAUAACCUCGUCUACGGGUUCUAUUUAUCGAUUAAUGGUCCGAGAUUUGCGGAUUGAAAAUCGAAUAGGGGUUUUCGAAUUAGGGUUAAAAAAAAAUUUGGGGGUUUCGAUUUGUGGUUUGAUAUAUUAAACUGGGUUGGAUAGACGGUUGGUAUGAUCGUAUUUUACAGUUUUUUUGUGCUAAUCAAUUCUUGUUUUGUGCUUUAGAUGGAUCCCGCAGAUGAGAGAACAGAUUGUAAGAGGAAACUGGAGCACAUAAACCUCCUGAGAUACGUUUCCGAUUCGGAACAUGGGAUGCCCAAAAGAUGCGCUUGUGGUGGGAGAAUGAUACACGAGGUUCGAGUGAAGGAUGAGUUCGACACUCAGCCAGGGAAACGCUUCUUUAGCUGUGUAAACUACGAGGUUAGAUACAAACCCUGUUACCCAGUUGAAUUAUUAGAUACAAACCUGUGCUUUACUUCAAUAUUUGGAAUGUGUUGUCUGAUGUGUUUAUUGUUUAACCAAGGCUGAUGGGUUACAUUAUCGUCAGCCUUGGGUUUGUGGUGUGCAGGAGGAGAUCGAAAUGCUGCGUAAGCGUGUGGAGGAGGCUGAUGAGGUGAUCAAGUCGGUGCCAAUGCUGGUUGAGAGUGUCGAGGUUUGUCACUUUGUCUAAGAGUUGAUUUUUUUUUUUAAUUUAGGUUUUUAAAAAGUCAUUUACAACGUUUCUUUUUUUCUUGUGCAGGCACAAGUUAAAAGGCUGAGUUUGCUGCUUGAUAAGCUCACUGGUGACGUGUAUAACCUCACAGUGCAGGUGGCUGCUCUGGAGAGGGUGUGUUUCGAGUGAAAUCCAAACAGGUAAACACAGAAACUAAACCGAAGUAGUUCUUUCCGUGUACUGAUAGGUGUGUUGUUUGCUGUAGUUGAACUGAAACUUAACUAGGAACUCAUCUAGGUUCAUUUAAUAUGUAGAGUAGUAUCUGUACUAGAUUAUAACUAUGAACUCACCUAGGUUAAUUUAAAUGGGUGUUGGUUGGUUGCUGUGAUGAAUGGUCAUUAAAAAUAUUGAUUUGAUGUGUAAUGAAUACAUUUUGUGAACUACUUCAUCUGUAAUUAAGGCUAAUGAAUGUUUGGUAGUUAGAGACACAAAGGAAGUAAAUCCUUUUUAUAGAUACUGAAAACAACCACUGUAAACACAAACCAACUUUUACAAAUCACUCUAACUCACCACGCUCUUGUGAAAACACCCAAAAACCUGAAACCACAAUGGAUCACUUUUCUCUUAAUUCUGUCGGGUUUGUGAACCUAUUAUCUUCCCAGUGCACUCAAACCACUCAAAACACUCAAAACACUCAAAACACUCAAACCACUCAAACCAUAGAUGUAGGGUCCUCAGGUGUUCCUAAACCCGUAGAGAGGAGAAAGUGGACAACACAAGAGGACAUUGUCCUCAUCAGUGCCUGGUUGAACACCAGCAAGGAUCCCAUAGUUAGUAACCAGCAGAAGUUAGGUUCGUUUUGGAAAAGAAUAGAGGAUUAUUUUAAUUCAAGCUCUCAGCNNNNNNNNNNNNNNNNNNNNNNNNNNNNNNNNNNNNNNNNNNNNNNNNNNNNNNNNNNNNNNNNNNNNNNNNNNNNNNNNNNNNNUUCUUUUUUAUCUUAAAAUCAAAUGUAGCCAAAUAAUGUCGUCCUCAUCAUCCGAUGGAGUAGAUGAAGCUUUUGAAGAAUAUUUUGACGAAGAAUUUGAUAAUAUCCUCAACUCCCUACUUGAUGAACAAGCCACCAACCCAAAGAAACGGACUUAUAUCGAAAGAGAUCGGGAACAAGGCCACAUUCAACUAUGGAACGACUAUUUUGACGAAAAUCCUACUUACACAACGGACAUGUUUAGGCGGCGUUUUAGAAUGAACAAACCAUUGUUCCUUCGCAUUGUCGAGCGGCUAACUACAGGUGUUCCGUACUUUCAGCACCGAGUAAAUGCUCACGGAAGGAAAGGGCUCUCACCACUUCAAAAAUGUACGGCAGCUAUACGUAUGCUCGCAUAUGGUCAAUCGGGAGAUACGUAUGACGAAUAUCUCCGACUCGGUGAAAGUACUGCUCUUUUAUGUUUGGAACAUUUUACUAAUGGGAUAAUACACUUUUUUGGUGAUGAGUAUCUAAGAAUACCUACGGCAGAAGAUCUUCAACGAUUACUCGAUAUUGGAGAGGCACGCGGGUUUCCCGGGAUGAUUGGCAGCAUUGAUUGUAUGCAUUGGGAGUGGAAAAACUGCCCAACGGCUUGGAGAGGGCAGUACACACGAGGUUCAGGAAAGCCGACAAUUGUCUUAGAGGCUGUGGCAUCAGAAGAUCUUUGGAUAUGGCACGCAUUUUUCGGAUUACCAGGUACCCUUAACGAUAUCAAUGUUCUUGAUCGGUCUCCUGUUUUUGAUGACAUUAUAAAAGGUCGAGCACCUAAAGUUAAAUUCAAGGUCAACAACCACACUUACCGUAUGGCGUACUACCUUACUGACGGAAUUUAUCCAAAUUGGUCGACAUUUAUCCAAUCUAUCUCACUUCCUCAAGGUGAGAAAGCAGAGCUGUUUGCUAAACAUCAAGAAUCCACCAGAAAAGAUGUCGAACGAGCUUUUGGGGUAUUGCAACCGAGGUUUGCAAUAGUCAAAAACCCAGGCCGGCUAUGGGACAAGAAAACGUUAGGGAAGAUUAUGAGAUGUUGUAUCAUAUUGCACAAUAUGAUUGUGGAGAACGAACGAGGCAAAUACAGUCUAACUGAUACUUCUCAGUUCGAGUCAGGAGAGUCGAGCAGAGGUUCGAAGGUCACAAGGCGAGAAAGUUUGCAUUCCACUAACAUGCUAGGCAUGCGCAAUGAAGUUCGAGAUUCAGGAAAACAUGAACGUUUGAAAGCUGAUUUAGUUGAAAAUGUAUGACAAACAUUUGGAAACGAUCAAUAAUCUUUGUAUGUUCAUCAAUUAUCAAUUAUCAAUGUAAUGAAUAAAUUUUAUUUAAAAAAUUUAUUGCAUAAUAUUUUAUACAUGUUUUCAAACUAAUUUCAAAACAAAAAAAAAAUUAAAAAAAAUAUUAUUUAAUUCCUGUGAACCCCUUCUCAGGUUCACUAAUGCAGAAGCACAAUACUAAGAGGUUCAACACUAUUCAUGACCCCACCUAAAAAAUAUUAAAAAAAUCCUAUGAACCCCAAAUGGGGGUUCACUAAUGUGGAUGCUCUUAUAUACGUAAAUAGUAACUUGGAUCAAUAAAAUCAUUAUAUUUCUUUUUUUUUAAAGAAGAAUAUUCUAUUUUGUGGUCGCUAUAAUCUUCCAAUAUCUAACGCAACCCAUAUCAUUGGGUCAUCUAAUUGUAUAUAUCCAAUCUGAAAUAUUACGAGUCUGAAUAUAUUUGAAUCAUAUUCAUAUAUUUAAAUAUAUUAAUUAUUUUUAGAUUUAAUAUACAAAAAUUAUCCAAAAUAUAUAAGAUAUUUUGAAAUUGUCCAAUCUAAAAUAGCUAAAAAAUAUUCAAAACUCCAAAAAUACUUAAAAUAUAUAUUGAUUCUCUGUCUAGAUAUUCAUGUCAAAACAAUUUUAUGUUAAACUUAAAUAUUUUGGCAUAUAAUAUUCAAAUUCAUAUGUUAUAUAUUAAUUUUAUUUUAAAAUUUGGAAAAAUUAAAAUAUAUCAAAAUUUUAAACUUUUACAAAAUAAUUUACGGGUUAUCUGAAUCUGAACCAAACCCACAGAGAUUCGAACCGUGUAUAUAUAGUAUAUGACGAGAGGAAAUGAGUAAGAGUCUAGACAGUUCUUUGUUAUCUUGUUUUUUAUCAUCUAUCCAGAACAUUGGAGAAGACGAAAGAGGGGUCACUCAAAAACUCACAAUCCAAAUAAAUCCGAACCAAACCAAAUUGGGGACCCGAAUCCGAAUGAAUACCAACAUCGUAUAAAUAUAUUUGAAAAAGAUAACCAAUCAUAUUUGAUUUAUAAAAAUAAAACAAACACCCGAGCGGGUGCGCGGAUCAAAGUCUAGUAUAAAUUAAAAUAUAAGACUAAGUACCUAAAAUUAACAUAAAACUGGUUUGUUGAAUAUUUAGGUGGAAAUCAGGUAAGUAUUUUAAAUAUUUUCUGUGUUUUGAAUACUUUGGCUAUUUUCAAAAUGUUAUUUGUAGCUAUCUUCAAAUAAAUUAGAUAUUUUCAUAUAAUUUAAAUAUAUUAUAGAUAUGUUACUUAAAAAUAAAUAAUAUAUAUAAGUAUAUAGUUGUGAUCCAGAUAUAUUCGAAUUUUUAAACUAAUGACAAAUAAAUAUUUGGAUUGUGGCGUUUCAGUUCUUCAAAUAUUAAAAUUUUUAUAUGUUUAGUAUUUCAAAUAUCCCCUAUAUAUUAAUUGAGAAGCAUUUGAAAAAUUAGAACCUUAAUUUUGUAUUAAUUAAAAAAAACUCCAAAUCCUAGGUGACACUCUAAAUGCCUUCUAAAUUCAAUUUCAAAGAAUUCUAGAGCAUCUAAUAUAAAGUAUAGUUUAAUCUAAUGGUGUCACAUUAUUCCAUAAUUAUAUAACACUAUAGAACAUUAUAUUAACCUAAAAUAUAAGAAAUGUGUAUUCUUUCCUUAAAUAAAAGCUACGGAAUUACCUAAUAUGAUUUACAUAUAUAUGGCAAUUAAUGAUUAUGAAUAAUAAAGAUUUGAUAACAAUUUUUGCAUCAUUCUUCAUUUUUUUUAAUUUUAUAUUAUUAAAAAAAUAAACAAUCACAUUAACCAUAUAAUAAAAAAAUUAGAUUUUUUCUUAUAUGUUAUAUUUUGAAUUUUUUAAAAUAAUUUUAAAUUAAAAAAAUGAGAAAACCUUAUAUGUUAUAUUUUUUUUAAAACGACUUUAAAAUACAAAAAUGAGGACACCUUAUAUGUUAUAUUUUUCUUAUAUGUUAUAUUUUUUCUUAUAUGUUAUAUUUUGAAUUUUUUAAAACGACUUUAAAUUACAAAAAUAUAAGUUUUCCUUAAGUAUACGACUAAAAACUUUCUUAUAUGUUAGACUUUUUCUUAUAUGUUAUAUUUUGAAUUUUUUAAAACGACUUUAAAUUACAAAAAUGUAAAUUUUCCUUAAGUAUACGACUAAAAACAUUAAAAUGACAUGUAUCAAUUCGAUGGUUGAUUUGAAAGCUUUCAAAACCAUAUGAAAGAUAAAAGUCAAAAUAAUUCAACUGUGAAAACAACACUGUUCACUUUUUUCAAAAAUGUGUUCGAUGAAAAAAAUAAGGUUUUUAUGUCAUAAUUUGUUUAAUGUCCAAUCCGAUCAACCCAUGAUGUAUUAAUUAUAGUUUUGUUCCAUCAUUUUUAAUAAAAAUUGAUUUGAUCCAUCGGAAAGAAAUUAUAUAAUAACAACAAAAAAUAUUGUAUAUAUAUAUAAAUAAAAUGAUCAAAUAUAUAAAAAAAAUUAUCGAUAAUAUAUAGAAAUAAAUUCACCCUGCGCAAGGCGCAUGUAUUAUUAAAAUAUUAUAAGGUUAGACAUGAUUCAGUUCUUUUCUUCGGAUAUUCAAAACUUGAAUAAUCACCUUAAAUAUUUAAUUACAUGUUUCCUAGUAUGAUAUAUAAAAGACUUGAACAUCAACAAAAAUUAACCAACGAAAUGAGUUUGGAUUCUAAAUAAGUUUUAAACGUAAUUAUAAAUUGUACUUGCACCUGAAAUAUUAUUAACCGAAUAGGACCUAAAAUGUAAAACCAUAACAAAACUAACGAGGCUAAAUCUGAAAAUUCAGAAACGUGAUCCAAAUGGAUUUCCUAACAAUAUAAUCCAAUUUUGUACAAACUUUAGACUUUAUGAAAACCAACCUGCUUAAUUCAGUUAUACUUCAGAGCCUUACUAGCGAUGUAAAUCGAUAAGCGUUUGAUUUAUCUUUGGUUUGAGAUCUUAUAAGCGUUUGUUUACAGUACUAAAUCAAACUUUAAUACAUGAAUUUAUGAAGUAUAAAGCCCAGUUUGAUUUGAAUUUUUGGCUCAUGAAAACCAAAACUCAGUUACACGGGGUUUGGUUUUGAGUCUUGUCGGAUUCAUUAAGUACUACUACUCCACAGUCUACAUUUAUUCAAACUUUAGGCUAAUGAAAACCAAAAGCCGGUUCACACCGGUAUAAACUUCAGAGCUUGCUAGUGAUAUUGAUAUUCCGUACUUUAGAGGAUUUGGGUGAUGUGUCUUUGGGAACGACCACCGUGAGGAGACCGUUAUCCACGUAGGCUUUUAUUUGGUCGGUUUUCACAUUUUCCGGCAACUCAAUCCGUCGGAGAAACUCUCCUUUACUGGAAAAAGCUUCUCUCUCCGCCACAUGCCACACCAAAUCCUCUUUCUUUUCUUUCUCUUCCUUCUUCAGUCCUUCUCCUUUAAUGCUUAGAACGUUUCCUUCUUCAAUUUGCACUUUUAUGUCUUCUUUAUUGUAUCCUAAUAACAAAAUAAUCCAUGGAAUGUUGUUUAGGUUAAGAAAAUAGUCUAAAAAUAAAAAAAAACAACCCUAAAUCAUAGAAGAAAACUAUCUGAAAAACAUAAUAAAAUAUGAAUUUUAACUUUUUAAGCUCUAAAACUAAAAUGAAAUUAUAAUUCCAUAAACAAGAAGACCGUAGUUGCAGACAUCAUUUAAUUUUGACAUAAUUGUAUACUAGUCUCUUGAACCAUUUUUAUUAUAUUCGAUUUUCCCUUACAAAAACAAAAAACUGUCACUAAACUUUUGAAAAUUAAAACUGAGUGUCGUAAAAUUCCUCAAAUUUGUUUUAAAUUACCAGAAUAAGUUAUCCAAAUUACACACCAUUACUUAUCAUGAAUUUGACACAUACCCUUAGUGAAAAUUUCAAAUAAUUUGUUUAUUUAUUUUUACCUGGAACGUUAACUUUGAAGAAAUGAGCGUUUGGAGAAAUGAGCGUUUGGAGAAAAAGACAAAAUAGCACUAAAUCAAAUUUUUGUUUCCAAACUAGCACUCAAAGUCAAAAGUCACAAAAAUAGCACUUAAUGUUUUAUCAAAAGUCACAAACUUAGGGUUUAGAGUUAAAGGGUGGAGUUUAGGAUUUAGGGUUUAGGGUUUAGGGUUUAGGGUUUAGGGUUUAGAGUUUAGGAUUUAGGGUUUAGAGUUUAGGGUUUAGAAUUGAGAAAUGAGGUUUUGGGGAUAAGAUAUAAACUUAGAAAAGUGUUAUUUUGGUCAUUUUAGUUUUUGAGUGCUAUUUUUGUGAUAUAAACUUAGAAAUGUGCUAUUUUGGACAUUUGCCCUAAUAAUUUGUUUAUUUAUUU